UACGGAGGGUGCAAGCGUUUGUCCGGAUUUAUUGGGUUUAAAGGGUGCGUAGGCGGCCCUGUAAGUCAGUGGUGAAAUACUGCAGCUUAACUGUAGCAUUGCCAUUGAUACUGUAGGGCUUGAGUACAGAUGAGGUAGGCGGAAUUGAUGGUGUAGCGGUGAAAUGCAUAGAUACCAUUCAAGAACACCGAUUGCGAAGGCAGCUUACUAGCUGUAACUGACGCUGAGGCACGAAAGCGUGGGGAUCGAACAGG
Molecule: ribosomal RNA, 254 nt
Filed under: uncultured bacterium
Lineage: Bacteria
Description: partial 16S ribosomal RNA
Rfam family: Bacterial small subunit ribosomal RNA
Source: RNAcentral